GAUGAACGCUGGCGGCGUGCCCAAUACAUGCAAGUCGAGCGAACAGACGAGGAGCUUGCUCCUCUGACGUUAGCGGCGGACGGGUGAGUAACACGUGGAUAACCUACCUAUAAGACUGGGAUAACUUCGGGAAACCGGAGCUAAUACCGGAUAACAUGUUGAACCGCAUGGUUCAACAGUGAAAGACGGUCUUGCUGUCACUUAUAGAUGGAUCCGCGCCGCAUUAGCUAGUUGGUAAGGUAACGGCUUACCAAGGCAACGAUGCGUAGCCGACCUGAGAGGGUGAUCGGCCACACUGGAACUGAGACACGGUCCAGACUCCUACGGGAGGCAGCAGUAGGGAAUCUUCCGCAAUGGGCGAAAGCCUGACGGAGCAACGCCGCGUGAGUGAAGAAGGUCUUCGGAUCGUAAAACUCUGUUAUUAGGGAAGAACAAAUGUGUAAGUAACUAUGCACGUCUUGACGGUACCUAAUCAGAAAGCCACGGCUAACUACGUG
RNAcentral lists this ribosomal RNA (497 nucleotides) under uncultured bacterium. RNAcentral describes it as "partial 16S ribosomal RNA". It matches the Rfam family "Bacterial small subunit ribosomal RNA", at positions 28 to 507 of the family's 1533-position model. The record is from RNAcentral.